UCGGAUCUACUCAUCACUGAAUAAUUUUAUAUUGAGAACAAUAUGUUGAGAUUAAUCAAUCACUCUGUAAUAAAUAUUGCAUAAGAUAGCUUUAAAUGAUUAAUUCCACAAUUGCCAAGUUAGUGCGUAGUAACAGCACUAUGUAGAACAGUUAGAGGUUACUUAGUACAGACAGUGAAAACAGCUUGCAAAAUAGAGCUUUUCCCUUCUCUCACCCUCAAACCUACACAGCUUAAAUAUUUAAAUUACCACAGGGUGGCGUUCCAUACUUAAAUCAUAGUGUUUCACCAGGGGCAAGGCACAUAUUGGUCUGUGCCAUUUCAUUCCAUCAUAUUGUUGUGCACUUAUAAUAUUUUCAAUGCUUGCAGGUGGGAUUUAUUAACUCAUUUUAUUUAUCAUCAACUCUUCUCAUUAAUAUUAAAAGAAUAUCAGCAAUCCACCUAACUAAUCACAAUAAUUAAUUCACAUUAUUAUAAUUAUUUAUUGGGAAUGUAAUAACAUCUCAUAGAUCUGAGAAAACUUCAAAGCAAGAGGUAACAGUGAUACUUAAUGCAUAUAAAUACAGUUUAUACAUUAUAUAGGAUAAAGUUAAAGUUAACGUUCAAGUUUGAGUUUUUGCAAACUCAAAUACAAUUUCAUGUUGGCACAAUUAGUUUAUCUGCCACGUUCCAAAAAAGUGAGCAUGAAAACAGACUGAUUGGGUGAACUUAAUUGGAUAUACAAAUAAAGAAGAGCUCAAAGUGGGAAUACUGACUACUAUAAUGCUCAUAGGCCUACUGCUCUGUUUUUACAAAAGAAUUGAGAGUGUGUUAAGUCAUAGACACAUGAAAUAUAAUAAAACAUCUUACAUCUUAUAUUUAUUUUCUUCCAAACAAUAAACAACAUAUCUAUGCCUUCAUACAGCCUCAUUAGUUGCUCAGAACAAAUAGAGAAUAAGCAGUCAUUUACAGGGUGGAGCUUUCUGAGGAAAAGUGAAACAGAAAAACAGGAGGCUCUUACUGUAGGUCUGCUGUUGCUCUUUAAAUAUUCAGUCAUAAUGAUGUUUCUUUACUUUACAUUUAUGACAGUUUUUACAGAGAAUGUUCAUGCAAAUGCAAUAACACCCCUCUCUACUAAAAAGGAUGCUUUAGAUGGAGAAAAUGUUACUCUUUCCUGCAACUAUAGUGGAAGUAAUAAUCAAAAUUUUCAGUGGUACAGACAGUAUCCCAACACUGCCCCAGAAAUUCUCCUAAAGACUUUUGAGAAUGCGGAUCCAGCACAGAAGGACCGACUUGCUGCUAAAGCUCAUAAGGACAAGAAACAACUUGACCUGGAGAUCUCCAAAACUGAAGUGGCAGAUGCUGCAAUAUACUACUGCGCCCUGGUGCCCACAGUCAGAGGAAACCCUUUUACACUGUACAAAAACCUGUGA
Molecule: non-coding RNA, 1411 nt
Organism: Myxocyprinus asiaticus (Chinese sucker)
Lineage: Eukaryota; Metazoa; Chordata; Actinopteri; Cypriniformes; Catostomidae
Source: the annotation of a RefSeq genome assembly